UGCACGGCGUGAUGCAAACGUUACAAGCUAAAGCUGCAUAUUAUUCAAAGCUCAAUGGAUUUUCACCUCA
This is a long non-coding RNA of Etheostoma spectabile (orangethroat darter), 70 nucleotides long. RefSeq lists it as uncharacterized. Lineage: Eukaryota; Metazoa; Chordata; Actinopteri; Perciformes; Percidae. The transcript is spliced from 3 exons. The record is from RefSeq and is a predicted model, not a curated record.